RNAcentral lists this long non-coding RNA (350 nucleotides) under Panax ginseng (ginseng). RNAcentral's name for it is "long non-coding RNA (PGIN_LNC001418)". The record is from RNAcentral. Lineage: Eukaryota; Viridiplantae; Streptophyta; Magnoliopsida; Apiales; Araliaceae.
CCCAACUCAAAAUCGUGAAGGACCUACAAUCAAACACCUGAUCAUAGUGUGAGAGUGGAAGGAUACCACUAUUACAGCCAAUGCAAUUGUCUAGACUUAAAUGAUGAACUCCCCAGCAGAAAAGGUCAAAUGAGAUAUCAUUGCUAACCACUUCUAAAGUUCUUCAUCUGGAAAGCGCCUCAGGGACAAAUCUGACCCUUAUCUCACUCUAAGAGGUUGGCCCUUCCUGAGCUACCUUAACCCAGAAAGAAUGCUUAGUCAAGUUCAUCUCAAGGACUAGGACAAUCAACGAUCGUCGAGUAGAUACUGUAGUAAACUCAACGAUCAUAGUGCAACCUCAACGAUCGUAG